Molecule: RNA transcript, 1297 nt
Organism: Zea mays
Lineage: Eukaryota; Viridiplantae; Streptophyta; Magnoliopsida; Poales; Poaceae
Exons: 4
Source: RefSeq, a predicted model, not a curated record
UAUAGAAAAGAUUACAAAGCAAAUGCAAACCGAUGGGUAAAAUUCUUGUGACCAUUACUUUACAGAAUUGAUUGUGUUUGUUUUCAUAUACAUAGAAACUCACCUAUUGUUUUUAAAUUAUGUUUAGGGUUUCUUGCGGUCUAUGGAUGGUGAACUAUAUGGAAUAUUGGACAGGGUCUUCUCUGUCUAAUAACAUAACUCAGAACGAUAUAACAAAGUUUAGAUUUAAGCUACCUGCAAUAUUGUGGAACUCAAGAUUAAACACAAAGAAAGGACAUCAAGAGACUAACCAUCAUGCAGAUGAAGAUGGAGGAAGUUCAUGUGAUGUUGAGAUAAUCAAGACUCCUUGUGAGUUACCUAUAUCGUUAAAUGCAUCAUCCCAGGUUCAACCAUUUAUAUCGUCAUGUGCUCUGCCCGCUACAUUAACAUCAACAAACACACAAGAACUGAUGAGUGCAUUAUGCACAUACAUCAUGGAGAUAGACGACGCCGAAUAUUUGGAGUAAGUUAAUGUUUUUUAUAGAUAUGAUAAAUAUUCAACAUCUAUGAUCUUUCUUUAACUAUGAAAACAAAUAUUUAUUUAAUAGGAAACAUUGGAUUCAGAGCACCAAACCUUAUCCAAUUUCUUUAAGUCUUCAACAGCUUAAAAAUAUAUUGGAUGUAAAUAAACCGAUGGAUAAGGAUUGCUUCAACAUAGCUGUUCGGAUGAUCGCAUGCAGUGAUGCCUUGUUCUUGUUGGAAAACAAAUACCACUACAUGGAUCUACAGUUCUGUGUAUGUUGAUUAGUGAUUAAACUGUUUUCAUAUAAAUAUGAUCAUUAUAUUACUAUAUUUUACUAACAUGGUAAUAAACAGUCCAUAACUAAUUAUGGUCAAGACCCUCGCCUUCGUGCAAAGCUAGAUACCAAUGUAUUGGCGAAUUUAUUUGAAUGUUGGCCUGACAUGGAGUAUACUAUUUCAGAUUGCAGCCAAAUUCUAUUGCCCUUUUGUUUCUUGGGUCACUUCAGUUUAUAUGUAUUUAACAUGAACACCAGAAGCAUCUAUAUAAUGGACUCCAUGCCUCUACCAUCAUGGUUUAAGGGUAACGAUCCAAACAUGCAUUAUAUUCACAAAAUACAUAAUAUUGCCAAUAAUAUGAAUGUUGCCAUAAAAUUGGCUAAUCCUACAUGGAAAGACGAUAUUUAUAUGUGGCGUCGUAUAGUACCAUCAUGGGUUCCAAAAACAUUAAACUGGGAUUUAUCAGGCUUUCUUGUUAUCAACUUUAUGCACUCGUGGAAUGGUAAAAGGUUACCCUGCA